Long non-coding RNA from Alligator sinensis (Chinese alligator), 283 nucleotides. RefSeq lists it as uncharacterized. The transcript has 3 exons. The record is from RefSeq and is a predicted model, not a curated record. Lineage: Eukaryota; Metazoa; Chordata; Crocodylia; Alligatoridae.
GUUCCAGACUAAAGUUCUUGCCCUGCUCAGUCCAUAGAUAUGAACGUUAUCCUUCUUCAUUUCAAAACAAAGAUAGAAUAAAGGAAGAUACUGGAUACUUCCUGAAGAGGACACUGCUAAAUGGAGAACUUUAGAGUGUUCAAAGACAUGAAGUUGGGAAUCAAUCCUCAUCUAGUGUGGAACAACUGAAAAUCAAGCCAUGCAAAAGGAGUCCAAGACAAUCCUCUUUCCAGAUAUAACAAAAUUGAAACAACCAGAACUGAGAGAAUUUUUCAACCUUAAU